GGGGAACCCGCGCGUUGCAGCGGGAUCGACAUUUGCGACGUUGUUUGCGCUUCCUGGGCAUCAACUCCGGACCUGAAGGUAUCUGAAAGUAACAGGUCAGCAGUUUCCAUUCUUACCAAGAAUAAACGAGGCAGAAAAAGGAAGUCAGAAUCUAUUUCAUCCAAGUCAUCAAAGUCAGCUCUGAAAACCGUUAGAAGGGCUCGAAAGUUUAAAUUUUCAGGAAACAAAAUAAAAAAUUCAAAGAUACUCAAAAGGUCACCAAGAUCCGCUUCGGCACCAAGACCUAUCGUUAGUAUUACUAAAUGUACCUCAUCACAACAAAAGAGUGGACCAAAGCUAACGAAAAAGAAUCUUUCAUUGCAUUCGCCUGUUUUUAAGGAAGGAGGAUUACCAGAUGGAACUGAACUAACUUACGUUGCUUGUGGAAAGAAAUGUCUAAAUGGUUAUAAGUUGGGUAAUGGUAUCUUUUGUUCCUGUUGCAAAACUGGGAUCAGUGCCUCACAGUUUGAAGAUCAUGCUGGUUGGGCCUCACGCAGAAAACCGUAAGUCGCCUAAUGAAACAGCGACCUUCCAAGAGUUUUCUGUCCAAAAGCUGCAAAAGCUGCAAAAGCUGCAACCUUCCUGAAGAUCGCUGUUUGAAUCAGCUAUGUUAUUCAAGAUCGCUGUUUGAAACAGAUACCUUAAGAAGGUCGCUGUUUCAAACCACCAACUCAAUAAAGAUCGCUGAAUGGUACAGCUAUGUUAUAAGAGAUUGUGGUUUGAAAGUGCUAACUUAAACAAGAUCGCUGUUUCUUUCUGCAAUGUUGUAAAAGGUUGCUGAAUGGUACAACAAUCUUAAAUAAGCUUGUUGUUUGAUA
This is a long non-coding RNA of Helianthus annuus (common sunflower), 857 nucleotides long. RefSeq lists it as uncharacterized. The transcript is spliced from 7 exons. The record is from RefSeq and is a predicted model, not a curated record. Lineage: Eukaryota; Viridiplantae; Streptophyta; Magnoliopsida; Asterales; Asteraceae.